AAGGAUAUACCUGUCCCCAUGUCGAACACAGAAGUCAAGCUUCUUAACGCCGAGAGUAGUUGGGGGAUCGCCCCCUGCGAGGGUAGGACGUUGCCAUGC
RNAcentral lists this ribosomal RNA (99 nucleotides) under Pediococcus pentosaceus. Lineage: Bacteria; Bacillati; Bacillota; Bacilli; Lactobacillales; Lactobacillaceae. The record is from RNAcentral.